Molecule: ribosomal RNA, 463 nt
Filed under: uncultured bacterium
Lineage: Bacteria
Description: partial 16S ribosomal RNA
Rfam family: Bacterial small subunit ribosomal RNA
Source: RNAcentral
GAUGAACGCUGACAGAAUGCUUAACACAUGCAAGUCUUUGGCGAAUCUGUGCUUGCACCGGCUAGCCAAGGCGGACGGGUGAGUAACGCGUAAAGAACUUGCCCUGCAGACAGGGAUAACAGACGGAAACGACUGAUAACACCUGAUACAGUUGCCGGCACGCAUGUGCCUGGCAAUGAAAAGAGAUGCUGCAGGAGAGCUUUGCGUCCUAUUAGCUUGUUGGUGAGGUGACGGCUCACCAAGGCGAUGAUAGGUAGCCGGCCUGAGAGGGUGAACGGCCACAAGGGGACUGAGAUACGGCACUUACUCCUACGGGAGGCAGCAGUGGGGAAUAUUGGACAAUGGGGGCAACCCUGAUCCAGCAAUUCUGUGUGCACGAAGAAGGUUUUCGGAUUGUAAAGUGCUUUCAGCAGGGAAGAAGAAAGUGACGGUACCUGCAGAAGAAGCGACGGCUAAAUACGUG